This is a long non-coding RNA of Canis lupus familiaris (dog), 546 nucleotides long. RefSeq lists it as uncharacterized. The transcript is spliced from 3 exons. Lineage: Eukaryota; Metazoa; Chordata; Mammalia; Carnivora; Canidae. The record is from RefSeq and is a predicted model, not a curated record.
AUCAGAAAUACAAGCAUUAUAUGUGCUAUUUCUUGUCUUAAAGAAUCUGAAGAAUGUAAUUCUGGAAUAAGAGACACAUCACAAUCAGCUAUGUAUGACAAAGCACUUAGAACAUUUGAUUGGCACAUGGUAACUUAUGGAGCAAGUGAGCAUAUUUUGCUGCCCAACUGUCACCUGUCCAACAACUUUCUCAGAGACUGCGACAGCAGGGCCAUUCUGAACUGGCACAAUGGUCUCACAGAGCACCUGAAGUCCUUACAUCCUGACAAAAGACCCAGAGCUUGUAAAAAAGGAAAGUGACCUACGGCCCAGGACACCCCUCCAAAGCAUGGACAUCUAUUCUCUACAGGAACCAGGUUACAGUGCCACAGCAACAACUGAGAGAUUAAUGUCAUCACCUGCAGUAAACAAUCACAAUGAACACUGGCUGCCAGGGAUGAAGAACAGAGUAAGGCAGAAAAGUUCAGCCUGGAUGACAGCAUUUGACUACCUUGGGAGCAUCUCUCAAAUCCCCUGCAACUGACCCAAAUACAAACAUCAUCUGAG